AACGAACGCUGGCGGCAUGCCUAACACAUGCAAGUCGAACGAGACCUUCGGGUCUAGUGGCGCACGGGUGCGUAACGCGUGGGAACCUGCCCUUAGGUUCGGAAUAACUCCCCGAAAGGGGUGCUAAUACCGGAUAAUGCCUUCGGACCAAAGAUUUAUCGCCUUUGGAUGGGCCCGCGUUGGAUUAGCUAGUUGGUAGGGUAAAAGCCUACCAAGGCGACGAUCCAUAGCUGGUCUGAGAGGAUGAUCAGCCACACUGGGACUGAGACACGGCCCAGACUCCUACGGGAGGCAGCAGUGGGGAAUAUUGGAAAAUGGGCGGAAGCCUGAUCCAGCAAUGCCGCGUGAGUGAUGAAGGCCUUAGGGUUGUAAAGCUCUUUUACCCGGGAUGAUAAUGACAGUACCGGGAGAAUAAGCUCCGGCUAACUCCGUG
RNAcentral lists this ribosomal RNA (433 nucleotides) under uncultured bacterium. RNAcentral describes it as "partial 16S ribosomal RNA". It matches the Rfam family "Bacterial small subunit ribosomal RNA", at positions 29 to 507 of the family's 1533-position model. The record is from RNAcentral.